AAGUUAAAUAAGGGCGUAUGGGGGAUGCCUAGGCUCUCAGAGGCGAAGAAGGACGCGAUAAGCUGCGAAAAGCUGCGGGGAUCGGCACACACGAAAUGAUCCGCAGGUAUCCGAAUGGGGCAACCCACUAGUUUGAAGAACUAGUACAUCGCAAGAUGGGCAAACCCGGGGAACUGAAACAUCUAAGUACCCGGAGGAGGAGAAAACAAUAGUGAUUCCGUUAGUAGUGGCGAGCGAACGCGGACCAGGCCAGUGCCUGAUUGUAAAUUAGCAGAACAUUCUGGAAAGUUUGACCAUAGUGGGUGACAGUCCCGUAUGCGAAAAUGAUCAAUCAGGACUCGAGUAGGGCGGAACACGUGAAAUUCUGUCUGAACAUGGGGGGACCACCCUCCAAGCCUAAAUACUCGUAUGUGACCGAUAGCGAACAAGUACCGUGAGGGAAAGGUGAAAA
This 451-nucleotide ribosomal RNA is filed under the name Pseudo-nitzschia pungens. RNAcentral describes it as "partial Bacterial large subunit ribosomal RNA". It matches the Rfam family "Bacterial large subunit ribosomal RNA", at positions 1 to 520 of the family's 2925-position model. Lineage: Eukaryota; Bacillariophyta; Bacillariophyceae; Bacillariales; Bacillariaceae. The record is from RNAcentral.